GCACUCUGGAGACGCCCGCGCUGCGGGGGCCGAAGGUGAAAGCCAGGCACAGGGGUGUCGGGUGAAUCUCUCAGGCAAAAGGACAGAGCGU
RNAcentral lists this non-coding RNA (91 nucleotides) under bovine gut metagenome. RNAcentral's name for it is "Glycine riboswitch". It matches the Rfam family "Glycine riboswitch aptamer", at positions 7 to 88 of the family's 94-position model. From Rfam's summary of the family: This family represents the bacterial glycine riboswitch. The record is from RNAcentral.